Molecule: non-coding RNA, 30 nt
Filed under: Homo sapiens (human)
Lineage: Eukaryota; Metazoa; Chordata; Mammalia; Primates; Hominidae
Source: RNAcentral
CUGGCAUUUCGUUUGAGGCAGGAUCUGGUA